RNAcentral lists this ribosomal RNA (460 nucleotides) under uncultured bacterium. RNAcentral's name for it is "partial 16S ribosomal RNA". It matches the Rfam family "Bacterial small subunit ribosomal RNA", at positions 338 to 795 of the family's 1533-position model. The record is from RNAcentral.
CCUACGGGAUGCAGCAGUGAGGAAUAUUGGUCAAUGGGAGGAAUCCUGAACCAGCCAUGCCGCGUGCAGGACGACGGCUCUACGAGUUGUAAACUGCUUUUGUACCGGGGUAAAAUUCUCUACGAGUAUGGUUUUGACCGUACGGUACGAAUAAGGAUCGGCUAACUCCGUGCCAGCCGCCGCGGUAAUCCGGAGGAUCCGAGCCUUAUCCGGGUUCGUUGGGGUUAAGGGCGGCGUAGGGUGGUUUAUAAGUUAGCGGUGAAAUACCGAUGCGUAACAUCGGGGCUGCCGCUAAUACUUUAGGACUAGAGAUAGGAUGCAGCAGGCGGAAUGUGAAGUGAAGCGGUGAAAUGCAUAGAUAUUACACAGAACACCGAUUGCGAAGGCAGCUUGCUAGGCCGGAUCUGACACUGAUGCACGAAAGCGUGGGGAGCGAACAGGAUUAGAUACCCUGGUAGUC